GACGAACGCUGGCGGCGUGCUUAACACAUGCAAGUCGAACGGAAAGGCCCUGCUUUUGUGGGGUGCUCGAGUGGCGAACGGGUGAGUAACACGUGAGUAACCUGCCCUUGACUUUGGGAUAACUUCAGGAAACUGGGGCUAAUACCGGAUAGGAGCUCCUGCUGCAUGGUGGGGGUUGGAAAGUUUCGGCGGUUGGGGAUGGACUCGCGGCUUAUCAGCUUGUUGGUGGGGUAGUGGCUUACCAAGGCUUUGACGGGUAGCCGGCCUGAGAGGGUGACCGGCCACAUUGGGACUGAGAUACGGCCCAGACUCCUACGGGAGGCAGCAGUGGGGAAUAGUGCACAAUGGGCGGAGGCCUGAUGCAGCAACGCCGCGUGCGGGAUGACGGCCUUCGGGUUGUAAACCGCUUUCGCCUGUGACGAAGCGUGAGUGACGGUAAUGGGUAAAGAAGCACCGGCUAACUACG
This 466-nucleotide ribosomal RNA is filed under the name uncultured bacterium. RNAcentral's name for it is "partial 16S ribosomal RNA". It matches the Rfam family "Bacterial small subunit ribosomal RNA", at positions 28 to 505 of the family's 1533-position model. The record is from RNAcentral.